Molecule: ribosomal RNA, 450 nt
Filed under: uncultured bacterium
Lineage: Bacteria
Description: partial 16S ribosomal RNA
Rfam family: Bacterial small subunit ribosomal RNA
Source: RNAcentral
GUAGGGAAUCUUCCACAAUGGACGAAAGUCUGAUGGAGCAACGCCGCGUGAGUGAAGAAGGUCUUCGGAUCGUAAAACUCUGUUGUUAGAGAAGAACGUGCAUGAUAGUAACUGAUCAUGUAAUGACGGUAUCUAACCAGAAAGCCACGGCUAACUACGUGCCAGCAGCCGCGGUAAUACGUAGGUGGCAAGCGUUGUCCGGAUUUAUUGGGCGUAAAGGGAACGCAGGCGGUUUUUUAAGUCUGAUGUGAAAGCCUUCGGCUUAACCGAAGAAUAGCAUUGAAAACUGGAAGACUUGAGUGCAGAAGAGGAGAGUGGAAUUCCAUGUGUAGCGGUGAAAUGCGUAGAUAUAUGGAGGAACACCGGUGGCGAAAGCGGCUCUCUGGUCUGUAACUGACGCUGAGGUUCGAAAGCGUGGGUAGCAAACAGGAUUAGAAACCCGAGUAGUCC